AGCCACCGAGUGUUACUUCA
Molecule: non-coding RNA, 20 nt
Filed under: Arabidopsis thaliana (thale cress)
Lineage: Eukaryota; Viridiplantae; Streptophyta; Magnoliopsida; Brassicales; Brassicaceae
Source: RNAcentral